AUCGCUUCUCGGCCUUUUGGCUAAGAUCAAGUGUAGUAUCUGUUCUUAUCAGUUUAAUAUCUGAUACGUACCACAUUGUGGUACCUUAUAUUAAAUUGAUUUUUGGGACAGGGAGAUGGAAUAGGGGCUUGCUCCGUCCACUCCGCGCAUCAACCCGGUAUUGCAUUUUCUCCGGAUAAUGGUGCACCUCCC
This is a small nuclear RNA of Petromyzon marinus (sea lamprey), 192 nucleotides long. Its record names the gene U2. It matches the Rfam family "U2 spliceosomal RNA". From Rfam's summary of the family: U2 is a small nuclear RNA (snRNA) component of the spliceosome (involved in pre-mRNA splicing). Complementary binding between U2 snRNA (in an area lying towards the 5' end but 3' to hairpin I) and the branchpoint sequence (BPS) of the intron results the bulging out of an unpaired adenosine, on the BPS, which initiates a nucleophilic attack at the intronic 5' splice site, thus starting the first of two transesterification reactions that mediate splicing. Lineage: Eukaryota; Metazoa; Chordata; Hyperoartia; Petromyzontiformes; Petromyzontidae. The record is from Ensembl.